Molecule: ribosomal RNA, 253 nt
Filed under: uncultured bacterium
Lineage: Bacteria
Description: partial 16S ribosomal RNA
Rfam family: Bacterial small subunit ribosomal RNA
Source: RNAcentral
UACGAGGGGUCCAAACGUUAUUCGGAUUUACUGGGCUUAAAGAGUUCGUAGGCGGUUCGGUAAGUGAGGUGUGAAAUCCCUUGGCUCAACCAAGGAAUUGCGCUCCAAACUGCCGGGCUCGAGGGAGAUAGAGGUGAGCGGAACUGAUGGUGGAGCGGUGAAAUGCGUUGAUAUCAUCAGGAACACCAGAGGCGAAGGCGGCUCACUGGCCCGAUACUGACGCUGAGGCACGAAAGCGUGGGGAGCAAACAGG